GACGAACGCUGGCGGCGUGCUUAACACAUGCCAGUCGAACGAUGAAGAAAAGAAUCGAAGCUUCGGCAGAAAUUCAUUUCGGAUUAGUGGCAGACGGGUGAGUAACGCGUGAGCAACCUACCUCUUACAAAGGGAUAGCCUCGGGAAACCGGGAUUAAUACCAUAUAACAUUGCGACGAAGCAUUUCGAUGCAAUCAAAGCUACGGCGGUAAGAGAUGGGCUCGCGUCCCAUUAACCGGAUGGUGAGGUAACGGCUCACCAUAGUGACGAUGGGUAACCGGCCUGGGAGGGUGAACGGUCACACUGGAACUGAGGCACGGUCCAGACUCCUACGGGAGGCAGCAGUGGGGAAUAUUGCACAAUGGAGGGAACUCUGAUGCAGCGACGCCGCGUGAGUGAUGAAGGAAUUCGUUUCGUAAAACUCUGUUCUAUGGGAAGAAAAGGACUGUACCAUAGGAGAAAGCUCCGGCUAAAUACGUG
RNAcentral lists this ribosomal RNA (480 nucleotides) under uncultured bacterium. Its description in RNAcentral is "partial 16S ribosomal RNA". It matches the Rfam family "Bacterial small subunit ribosomal RNA", at positions 28 to 507 of the family's 1533-position model. The record is from RNAcentral.